This 802-nucleotide small RNA is filed under the name uncultured bacterium. RNAcentral describes it as "bacterial SSU rRNA". The stretch from base 1 to 492 matches the Rfam family "Bacterial small subunit ribosomal RNA", at positions 1045 to 1533 of the family's 1533-position model. The record is from RNAcentral.
AUGGCUGUCGUCAGCUCGUGUCGUGAGAUGUUGCGUUAAGUCGCGCAACGAGCGCAACCCUUGUCUUGUGUUGCCAGCGCGUAAUGACGGGGACUCGCAAGAGACUGCCGGGGUCAACUCGGAGGAAGGUGGGGACGACGUCAAGUCAUCAUGCCCCUUAUGUCUAGGGCUGCAAACAUGCUACAAUGGCCGGUACAACGGGCUGCGACACUGCGAAGUGAAGCGAAUCCCUUAAAGCCGGUCUCAGUUCGGAUUGGAGUCUGCAACUCGACUCCAUGAAGUCGGAGUCGCUAGUAAUCCCGGAUCAGCAACGCCGGGGUGAAUACGUUCCCGGGCCUUGUACACACCGCCCGUCACACCACGAAAGUUGGUAACGCCCGAAGCCGGUGGCCUAACCCUUUUGGGAGGGAGCCGUCGAAGGUGGGGCUCGCGAUUGGGGUGAAGUCGUAACAAGGUAGCCGUACCGGAAGGUGCGGCUGGAUCACCUCCUUUCUAAGGAGCCUUUGGCACCAUUCGGGUCGAUCCGGCAACUGUUCGGAUCGCGCGCCCGAAAGACUCCAGGUCGAUGCACUGGCCCCCGUCGGUAACUUGCGGCGGGACACACUGUUCAGCUUUGAGGGUGCGAGCCCUCUUGGAACCUUGAGAACUCGAUAGCGAGCGCGAGCAUCUACAGUCAAGUUAUAAAGGGCUUACGGUGGAUGCCUAGGCGCCAGGAGCCGAUGAAGGACGUGGCAGGCUGCGAAAAGCUCCGGGGAGUCGCGAGCAGACUUUGAUCCGGAGAUGUCCGAAUGGGGAAACCCGG